CCUACGGGGGGCAGCAGUAGGGAAUUUUCGUCAAUGGGCGCAAGCCUGAACGAGCAAUGCCGCGUGAACGAGGAAGGUCUUCGGAUCGUAAAGUUCUGUUGAAGGGGAAAAAGAGCGGAGAGAGGAAAUGGUCUCCGAUUGAUAUUACCCUUCGAGGAAGUCACGGCUAACUACGUGCCAGCAGCCGCGGUAAUACGGAGGGGGCGAGCGUUAUCCGGAAUGAUUGGGCGUAAAGGGUGCGUAGGCGGCCUGCUAAGUCUGGAGUGAAAGGUACCGGCUCAACCGGUACCGGCUCUGGAAACUGGCGGGCUAGAGAGCAGGAGAGGGCGGUGGAACUCCAUGUGUAGCGGUAAAAUGCGUAGAUAUAUGGAAGAACACCAGUGGCGAAGGCGGCCGCCUGGCCUGUGACUGACGCUGAGGCACGAAAGCGUGGGGAGCAAAUAGGAUUAGAUACCCUGGUAGUC
Molecule: ribosomal RNA, 464 nt
Filed under: uncultured bacterium
Lineage: Bacteria
Description: partial 16S ribosomal RNA
Rfam family: Bacterial small subunit ribosomal RNA
Source: RNAcentral